AGAGUGGACGCUGGCGGUAGGCCUAACACAUGCAAGUCGAACGGCAGCACAGUAGGAGCUUGCUCUUACGGGUGGCGAGUGGCGGACGGGUGAGGAAUACAUCGGAAUCUACCUUUUGGUGGGGGAUAACGUAGGGAAACUUACGCUAAUACCGCAUACGCCCUUCGGGGGAAAGCCGGGGACCAGCAAUGGCCUGGUGCUGAUAGAUGAGCCGAUGUCGGAUUAGCUAGUUGGUGAGGUAAUGGCUCACCAAGGCGACGAUCCGUAGCUGGUCUGAGAGGAUGAUCAGCCACACUGGAACUGAGACACGGUCCAGACCUCCGUACGGGAGCAGCA
This 336-nucleotide ribosomal RNA is filed under the name uncultured soil bacterium. RNAcentral describes it as "bacterial SSU rRNA". It matches the Rfam family "Bacterial small subunit ribosomal RNA", at positions 26 to 353 of the family's 1533-position model. The record is from RNAcentral.